GCCAGCGAUACCCGCCCUCGGGAAGCUGGGGCAGGGAGACCCAGCGUCCCAGGCCAAUCUGGGCUACCCGCUCUCGGUAACCCAAAGUUAGUAACUCUAAAGCUACUCCUGGAAAUUGAGCGUAAUGUCAGUGAGGUUUCACAGCAAAAGAGACUGAGUAAUUUUAAGGCACGCAGACCGGGACCCACGACGGGAAGGAGGGGCGGAGACUCAGGGAACAGCCCGCGGCGGAGACGGGCGGGCGGAGGGCAGUGGCCGGAAGGCAGAGGCAAACUCAUCUCGGAGAGUUUCUGAACUUGUGUGGAAAUCAGGAUGUGUGGGAAUUGAAUUUACUCAAGUGCCAACUUACCUUAAACUCCUAAUCCUCCAGCACACCCCGCAACUGCUGCGAUUAUAGGUCUGCACCAUUAUACCCGGUCUUUUAGGGCCUCUUAAAAAGAGGGAGCAAAUGAGAGCGAUGGCCCCGUGGGUGAAGUUGUUUGCCACUGUAUCAACAAUGCUAGCCUGACAACCUGAGUUGUGGAAAGACAAAAUGAAGGCCACAGAGAUGUCCUCUGACUUCCACACUGGUGCAGAUGGCAAAUCCACCCACCUACGUGUCACACACACAUAACAACAACAAUAAUAAUAAUAGGCAUAUCCACCCACAUACAUAUCACAAUAAUAAUAAAUAAAUUUUAAUUUUAAGAGAGUUGGAGAUG
RNAcentral lists this long non-coding RNA (701 nucleotides) under Mus spicilegus (steppe mouse). RNAcentral's name for it is "lncRNA (ENSMSIG00000010393.1)". The record is from RNAcentral. Lineage: Eukaryota; Metazoa; Chordata; Mammalia; Rodentia; Muridae.